Molecule: transfer RNA, 68 nt
Filed under: Spaniocelyphus pilosus
Lineage: Eukaryota; Metazoa; Arthropoda; Insecta; Diptera; Celyphidae
Description: tRNA-Trp
Rfam family: tRNA
About the family: Transfer RNA (tRNA) molecules are approximately 80 nucleotides in length. Their secondary structure includes four short double-helical elements and three loops (D, anti-codon, and T loops). Further hydrogen bonds mediate the characteristic L-shaped molecular structure. tRNAs have two regions of fundamental functional importance: the anti-codon, which is responsible for specific mRNA codon recognition, and the 3' end, to which the tRNAs corresponding amino acid is attached (by aminoacyl-tRNA synthetases). tRNAs cope with the degeneracy of the genetic code in two manners: having more than one tRNA (with a specific anti-codon) for a particular amino acid; and 'wobble' base-pairing, i.e. permitting non-standard base-pairing at the 3rd anti-codon position.
Source: RNAcentral
AAGAUUUUAAGUUAACCAAACUAUUAGCCUUCAAAGCUAUAAAUAUAAGUACAAUCUUUUAAAUCUUA